RNAcentral lists this ribosomal RNA (503 nucleotides) under uncultured bacterium. RNAcentral describes it as "partial 16S ribosomal RNA". It matches the Rfam family "Bacterial small subunit ribosomal RNA", at positions 30 to 523 of the family's 1533-position model. The record is from RNAcentral.
AUUGAACGCUGGCGGCAGGCUUAACACAUGCAAGUCGAGCGGGGUGAUGGUGCUUGCACUAUCACUUAGCGGCGGACGGGUGAGUAAUGCUUAGGAAUCUGCCUAUUAGUGGGGGACAACAUCUCGAAAGGGAUGCUAAUACCGCAUACGUCCUACGGGAGAAAGCAGGGGAUCACUUGUGACCUUGCGCUAAUAGAUGAGCCUAAGUCGGGUUAGCUAGUUGGGGGGGUAAAGGCCUACCAAGGAGACGAUCUGUGGCGGGUCUGAGAGGAUGAUCCGCCACACUGGGACUGAGACACGGCCCAGACUCCUACGGGAGGCAGCAGUGGGGAAUAUUGGACAAUGGGGGGAACCCUGAUCCAGCCAUGCCGCGUGUGUGAAGAAGGCCUUAUGGUUGUAAAGCACUUUAAGCGAGGAGGAGGCUCUUUUGGUUAAUACCCAAGAUGAGUGGACGUUACUCGCAGAAUAAGCACCGGCUAACUCUGUGCCAGCCGCCGCCGUAA